UGGAGGAACAACCCCAGUGGCUGCUGUAGCUCUGGAAACCUGGAUUCAGCUCUGCAGGAACUACUCCGUCUGCAGGGCCUGGAGGCUCCAGGGGCGG
Canis lupus familiaris (dog) is the source of this 97-nucleotide non-coding RNA. The record is from Rfam. NCBI's taxonomy places the organism in Eukaryota, Metazoa, Chordata, Mammalia, Carnivora, Canidae.